CUCUGUUAUGUCCAAAUUCGGAUGGGAAGCAGGGGGAGUGGAACUGAAGGUCCAUGUUUCAUCAGAAGGCGGCCAAUAUAAUCGUGUGAGCUCAGACCACAAGGUAGAAGAUCUUCCUGAUGUUGAACACCAAGAUUUUUGAAAGACCUUCAACUAAGAUAAAGUCACACUCCCCACCCCCCGGAAAAUACACAAUUAAAUGAAACUAGUGGAUUCAGUAAUAGUGGCAGUGUGAUUCUGCUCCUCAUGAUUAUUCAGCAAUGAAUAAGGACACAACAAGCAGCAGACUUACUUAACAAGUUGUGACUCUGGUUCAUCACAAAAGAACCUGUCAUCCCCAGACUCAGGCCUUGAAUGUCCUUUCAUCUUCUGCACAGAGUCCGAGGUCACGUGGUACCACCACCUUGCUGAAGCUAAGCACGUCUAGGUCUGGUCAGUACCUGGAUUUUCUUUCAGAAAGCAAAGUUAUUUGUGUUUUAUGGAAAGGAUGUCAAAUCAGGAUUGUCCCUGGCGAUAUAACAGUGGUCUAUGGUUAACAGAUUACUUUAAUUGAUUUUGAUGUACCCCAGAAGUACUUUGAGUCAAAACCUAACACCACUCUGAAGAGAUACAUCAGCUGCUGCAAGUAACACUGUUUUCUGUUGGUAGUUGUUCUAUAUCUUUGGGAACCACACCAGGCAUUUACCUGAUGGAAAGGUUGAUGGGCUGUCCCUCUAGAGCAGGGCUGCUCAACUUCAGCCCUCCUGCAGAUGUUGGCUUACAACUCCCAUAAUCCUUGGCUAAUGACCACUGUGGCUGGGGAUUAUGAGAGUUGUAGUCCAAAAACAGCUGGCAGGGGCCUAAGUUGAGCAGGUCUGCUCUAGAGUGACUCUCUCUUCCCAAAGGACUUAAAAGGAGCAUCCGAUUCCGAACUAGCCAUUAUAACAGCAAGUAAAUCAUCUUGCCGAUGCACAGUAUUCACUGAUAAUUAUUAUAAAUUGCUGAGAACAAGCGGAUCCCUUUCAAACGUCAUUUUGGGAUAGGAGUGGAAAUGGAAUGUCAUGCAACGUGUAUUAAAUUAAUAGCAUGACUGCUCGGUUGAACAGGAUGCAGAUUAUAAAUUAGGAGUCAGUAAUUUAAAAUCAUUCACUUGCUUGUCUUUCAGCAUAAUGGGCUAAUCAUAUAUAUGUGCAGAAGUAAUGCAUUGGCUAGGCUUCAGAUAAGGCAACAUAAGGAAUAAGAACACCUUCUCCACCCAUGCUAAGAGCAUUUUUACCUUUCUCUGAAACAGAUUUCUUUCCAAGUUCCAUUGAUUUAAGUGUUUAGAAGAAUGAUGACAAUGUGAUUGUCUUCCCAUUUACUGUCCUUCAUAAUUACUAGUUCCUGGCUGGCACAGCAAGAAUGCAAACCCUUUAGAGAGGAGCCAGUUGUGACUGCGGUGGAUCAGUUCCAUGAUCUAGUCAGGAUUCCAGAAGACCCUGAUUUCAGCCAGAUAGUCUAUCUCGAGUGGUCUUCUACUAGAUUACUUGACCAGAACAACCUGCGAGUACUAGAUGUCUAGAUGGAAUCAGAGACAUUGGCUGACAUCCAGUUACUUAAUAAUACCACUCAGGAGCUAUUUUAAAUGACUUUAACUGAAAUUUAAAUUUUAAAUUUCAAUGUGUGUUUUUAUCUAUUGUGAUUUUUAUCAGUUUUUAUGAAUUUUAAAUGUUGUAUAUUUUAUAUUAUGUUUUAAUUUGUACACCACCUAGAGAUAUCUAUA
Molecule: long non-coding RNA, 1741 nt
Organism: Hemicordylus capensis (graceful crag lizard)
Lineage: Eukaryota; Metazoa; Chordata; Lepidosauria; Squamata; Cordylidae
Exons: 5
Source: RefSeq, a predicted model, not a curated record